ACUGCUCAGUAACACGUGGACAACCUGCCCUUAGGUUGGGUAUAAACCCGGGAAACUGGGUAUAAUACCCGAUAGGUCUCGAUUGCUGGAAUGCAUCGAGAUUUAAAGCUUCGGCGCCUAGGGAUGGGUCUGCGGCCUAUCAGGUAGUAGUGGGUGUAGCGUACCUACUAGCCUACGACGGGUACGGGUUGUGAGAGCAAGAGCCCGGAGAUGGAUUCUGAGACACGAAUCCAGGCCCUAAGGGGUGCAGCAGGCGCGAAAACUUUACAAUGCUGGCAACAGCGAUAAGGGAACCUCGAGUGCCAGGUUACAAAUCUGGCUGUCGAGAUGCCUAAAAAGCAUUUCAUAGCAAGGGCCGGGCAAGACCGGUGCCAGCCGCCGCGGUAACACCGGCGGCUCGAGUGGUAACCGUUAUUAUUGGGUCUAAAGGGUCUGUAGCCGGCCGGAUAAGUCUCUUGAGAAAUCUGGCAGCUUAACUGUCAGGCUUUCAGGAGAUACUGUCUGGCUCGAGGCCGGGAGAGGUGAGAGGUACUUCAGGGGUAGGGGUGAAAUCUUGUAAUCCUUGAAGGACCACCAGUGGCGAAGGCGUCUCACCAGAACGGACCUGACGGCAAGGGACGAAAGCUAGGGGCACGAACCGGAUUAGAUACCCGGGUAGUCCUAGCCGUAAACGAUACUCGCUAGGUGUCGGCCACGGUGCGACCGUUGUCGGUGCCGUAGGGAAGCCGUGAAGCGAGCCACCUGGGAAGUACGGCCGCAAGGCUGAAACUUAAAGGAAUUGGCGGGGGAGCAC
Molecule: ribosomal RNA, 793 nt
Filed under: uncultured archaeon
Lineage: Archaea
Description: bacterial SSU rRNA
Rfam family: Archaeal small subunit ribosomal RNA
Source: RNAcentral